UCUCAAGGGAGGAAAUGACUCAAUGUGUUUAAUACAGGUUUCCCUGCUAAGCCUCAAUCUGGGGAAGUCCUGUUGGUUUUGGGAAGUGAGCAGCAGUUCUGUAUGUGGUUUAAAAAAACAAACAAAAAAACAAAACAAAAAGACAGAAAAUGAAGUGGGAAAACAAGAUUCUUUAAGUCUAUUUUAGAAUCCCUAUUGGGUCUAGAAUGCCAUCCUCUGUACAAAGUAUUCACUCAGAAAUGUGGGCCGUGAGAGCUCGGGAAAUAAGGCUUGCGUGAUACUCACUGGGUGGUUUGGGCCGCUGGGCCUGCCUCUGAAGGCCGCUGAUGUUUUUGUCUCCUUUAGGUGCUCAGCUUUAAGGGCUACUGGGAAAAACUGAACUCCAACCUAGAAUAUGUUAAGUACGCCAAGCCACACUUCCACUAUAACAACAGUGUGGUCAGGAGAGAGUGGCACAACCUGAUCUCUGAAGAGAAAACAGGAAAAAGAAGGUCCACGGCGUAUGUGAGGAAUAUUCUUGAUAAUGCAGUAAAGGUGAUUUCUAACCUAGAAGCAA
This 556-nucleotide small RNA is filed under the name Pongo abelii (Sumatran orangutan). RNAcentral describes it as "retained intron". Lineage: Eukaryota; Metazoa; Chordata; Mammalia; Primates; Hominidae. The record is from RNAcentral.